GUUUGACAAUAAGGUGUGAAUGAAGCUUUCAACAUCAGGGUUGGGUCAACAGGGUCAUGAAGGGGAGAAGAAAUGCUUGAAUUCGGAGCUAUGGCACGCUUGUGCCGGGCCGUUGGUGUCCCUACCAACAUUGGGCAGCCGGGUGGUCUACUUCCCUCAGGGGCAUAGUGAGCAGGUAUCUGCCACAACUAACAAAGAAGUUGAUAGUCAGAUACCCAAUUACCCAAGCCUGCCG
This is a long non-coding RNA of Pistacia vera, 235 nucleotides long. RefSeq lists it as uncharacterized. The transcript is spliced from 3 exons. Lineage: Eukaryota; Viridiplantae; Streptophyta; Magnoliopsida; Sapindales; Anacardiaceae. The record is from RefSeq and is a predicted model, not a curated record.